This 398-nucleotide ribosomal RNA is filed under the name uncultured bacterium. RNAcentral's name for it is "partial 16S ribosomal RNA". It matches the Rfam family "Bacterial small subunit ribosomal RNA", at positions 523 to 918 of the family's 1533-position model. The record is from RNAcentral.
AUACGUAGGGUGCGAGCGUUGUCUGGAAUUACUGGGCGUAAAGAGCUCGUAGGUGGUUUGUCGCGUCGUCUGUGAAAUUCCGGGGCUUAACUCCGGGCGUGCAGGCGAUACGGGCAUAACUUGAGUACUGUAGGGGAGACUGGAAUUCCUGGUGUAGCGGUGAAAUGCGCAGAUAUCAGGAGGAACACCGGUGGCGAAGGCGGGUCUCUGGGCAGUAACUGACGCUGAGGAGCGAAAGCAUGGGUAGCGAACAGGAUUAGAUACCCUGGUAGUCCAUGCCGUAAACGGUGGGCGCUAGGUGUAGGGGUCUUCCACGACUUCUGUGCCGUAGCUAACGCAUUAAGCGCCCCGCCUGGGGAGUACGGCCGCAAGGCUAAAACUCAAAGGAAUUGACGGGG